UGUUCCACAUGACAAGGCUAGUCCAUACCAUAUAUCUCUUUCUUUUCAUUUAAUCAUUAUGUGUUGAUUUCAUCCAAUCAAUUCCGACUUGCAUUAUGAUCAAUUCAGAUAUGUCAUAUCCAUAUAAUCAUGCCAUCAAUCUCUGAUACAUAUAUAUUGACAUAACAUACUCAUGCUCAAAAUCAAAUAACAAUAUCUCAGAUAUAAUAAAUUCAUCGAUCUCAAAUCCGAUGAUGCAAAACCAAUAAUGCAAGACCAAC
Molecule: long non-coding RNA, 260 nt
Filed under: Elaeis guineensis (African oil palm)
Lineage: Eukaryota; Viridiplantae; Streptophyta; Magnoliopsida; Arecales; Arecaceae
Description: long non-coding RNA (EGUI_LNC079790)
Source: RNAcentral